GUGGGGAAUCUUGCGCAAUGGGCGAAAGCCUGACGCAGCCAUGCCGUGUGAAUGAUGAAGGUCUUAGGAUUGUAAAAUUCUUUCACCGGGGACGAUAAUGACGGUACCCGGAGAAGAAGCUCCGGCUAACUUCGUGCCAGCAGCCGCGGUAAUACGAAGGGGGCUAGCGUUGCUCGGAAUUACUGGGCGUAAAGGGCGCGUAGGCGGACAGCUUAGUCAGAGGUGAAAGCCCAGGGCUCAACCUUGGAAUUGCCUUUGAUACUGGCUGUCUUGAGUUUGGGAGAGGUGAGUGGAACUCCGAGUGUAGAGGUGAAAUUCGUAGAUAUUCGGAAGAACACCAGUGGCGAAGGCGACUCACUGGCCCAAUACUGACGCUGAGGCGCGAAAGCGUGGGGAGCAAACAGGAUUAGAAACCCCGGUAGUCC
Molecule: ribosomal RNA, 425 nt
Filed under: uncultured bacterium
Lineage: Bacteria
Description: partial 16S ribosomal RNA
Rfam family: Bacterial small subunit ribosomal RNA
Source: RNAcentral